UGGUACGCUGUCGGCGCCAGUCGACCUCCAUGCAAGUGGCGGUCAGGGAACCCGGUGAGAGUCCGGGACUGACGCGCAGCGGUGUGGGUGACGGGCGGAGCCCCGAGCAAUCGGGAAAAGUCACUGGAUGGUUCGCCAUCUGGGAAGACGCUCCGCGCCGGAUGAUCCCGAGUCCGAAGACCUGCUGGCCCUUGCGACACAGA
This 203-nucleotide non-coding RNA is filed under the name Nocardioides sp. The record is from RNAcentral. Lineage: Bacteria; Bacillati; Actinomycetota; Actinomycetes; Propionibacteriales; Nocardioidaceae. RNAcentral also lists the same sequence under 1 other name.